Molecule: transfer RNA, 86 nt
Filed under: Prevotellaceae bacterium
Lineage: Bacteria; Pseudomonadati; Bacteroidota; Bacteroidia; Bacteroidales; Prevotellaceae
Description: tRNA-Leu
Rfam family: tRNA
About the family: Transfer RNA (tRNA) molecules are approximately 80 nucleotides in length.
Source: RNAcentral
GCCCGGGUGGUGGAAUAGGUAGACACGCAGGACUUAAAAUCCUGUGAGCAGCAAUGUUCAUACGGGUUCGACUCCCGUCCCGGGUA